RNAcentral lists this long non-coding RNA (375 nucleotides) under Gallus gallus (chicken). Its description in RNAcentral is "lncRNA (ENSGALG00010009813.1)". The record is from RNAcentral. Lineage: Eukaryota; Metazoa; Chordata; Aves; Galliformes; Phasianidae.
UGGGCAGUGGCCGCUAGGGGGCGCUGUGGGGUCAUUGAGCCCUAUGAGGUGGGAGGUGGCCGCUAGGGGGCGCUGUGGGGUCAUUGAGCCCUAUGGGGUGGAGGACCGCCGCUAGGGGGCGCUGUGGGGCAUUGGGACCUAUAGGGCGGAGGACCGCCACUAGGGGGCGCUGUGGGGUCAUUGAGCCCUAUGGGGUGUAAUGCAGCCCUAUGGGGUGGGCGGUGGCCGCUAGGGGGCGCUGUGGGGUCAUUGAGCCCUAUGAGGUACAAUGCAGCCCUAUGGGGUGGGAGGUGGCCGCUAGGGGGCACUGUGGGGCAUUGAGACCUAUGGAGUGGAGGACUGCCGCUAGGGGGCGCUGUGGGGCGCUAUGGGGGG